This 563-nucleotide long non-coding RNA is filed under the name Dermacentor andersoni. RNAcentral describes it as "uncharacterized LOC126544182". The record is from RNAcentral. Lineage: Eukaryota; Metazoa; Arthropoda; Arachnida; Ixodida; Ixodidae.
AGAACAAUGUGUAUUUCCUGUAUCUCUGAUAAGGCGGCUCCUCGUUUGAAAAUAAGCGCCGUUGAAUGCCGUGUAAGGCUAGCGUCAGGAAGCCCUCAAUAGAACAAGAUUGUAAAGGAACCCAGUGUGAACAUCAAGAAAGAACGGCAACUGGCAGGUCGAUCCUAUCUUGCGAUGUCUGAACUGAACGCAUCCGUGUUACUGGCACUCUUUAUAUUUUCGGUAACACAGAUUUCCUAUUCACACAGUUCUUGCGCUGUGGACUACAUUGGAAUGGAUUGCAGUUCUGGCAAUCACACCUGCCCACCAGGUUGCAAAUGCAGCCUUUACACACCCGUCGAAACGAAUGUCGAAAAAUGGUUGUGUGGUCCACACAAGGUUAACAGGAUGAUAUAGACUGCCAUGUAUCCCUCAUAGCACGCGAUGAAAACGACAUUCAGGUGUCCUUUUCGAACUACGAAUAAUUAUAAAAAACAACGGUUCUGAUCCAGUCAGUGUACGUGCUGUAGUCCACGGGAAGCGAACUUUGAGGAAAGGGGAGAAAUAAAUGCUUUACCACUCAG